Molecule: ribosomal RNA, 417 nt
Filed under: uncultured bacterium
Lineage: Bacteria
Description: bacterial SSU rRNA
Rfam family: Bacterial small subunit ribosomal RNA
Source: RNAcentral
UUCGGGGGGUGGACAGCGGCGAAAGGGAGAGUAAUGUGUGGAUACCUGCCCUUGGGUCCGGGAUAGCCGUGGGAAACUGCGGGUAAUACCGGAUAACAUCUCCGGAUCAAAGGUGUGAUUCCGCCUGGGGAUGGGUCCACAUCCUAUUAGCUUGUUGGUGGGGUAAAGGCCUACCAAGGCAACGAUGGGUACCGGGUGUGAGAGCAUGGCCCGGCUCACUGGGACUGAGACACUGCCCAGACACCUACGGGUGGCUGCAGUCGAGAAUCUUCGGCAAUGGGCGAAAGCCUGACCGAGCGACGCCGCGUGCGGGAUGAAGGCCUUCGGGUUGUAAACCGCUGUCAGAGGGGAUGAAAUGCCGGAGGGCUAUCCCUCCGGUUUGACAAAUCCUCAGAGGAAGGACGGGCUAAGUUCGUG